AUGUUUCUUAAAUAAUUAAGGUUGAUCCUGUCUUGUUUCUAUGAUAAUUGGCUAUAAGCUAAAUAAUAUUAAAUAUAAGUUUUUGCGUGUUUUAUAAUUUAUCUAAAGGGUAUUUAUUUUUUAUAAUUGUAGUUUUUAUUUUUGGUAUUAUACAUAAAUGUAGAACCAGUUAAUUAAAUUUAGGAUUGUUUAAGGUUGUGCCAGCAUACGCGGUUAUACAUCCAAUCCAAGUCAAUUUUUUUGGUUUAUAUUAAUUUUAAAUUUUUGGGGGUUAAUUUUUUUUUAUUAGGUGAAAUUUUUAAUUUAAUUUAUAUUUUCUAGGUUUAUGAUUAUGUGAAAUUUGGGGUUUAAACUAGGAUUAGAUACCCUAUUAUUCUAAAUGUAAAAUUUUAACCAUAGUAUUAAUAGUUAUGAUC
This 416-nucleotide ribosomal RNA is filed under the name Dianomictis expansa. RNAcentral's name for it is "partial small subunit ribosomal RNA". The record is from RNAcentral. Lineage: Eukaryota; Metazoa; Arthropoda; Insecta; Hemiptera; Coreidae.